GUCUCACCCAAGAUAUUUUUAAUUUAAAUAAAAAAAAUUAUGUUAACUAAAAUAGAAUUUAUAUAUUAGAAAUCUAAUCCCUAAUAUACCACUAAUGGAUUGUAGCCGCAGACCCUCACCCUCACUCUCGAUCUCUCCGUCGACGCACCCCUCACCCUCGAUCUCUCUGUCGCCGCACCCUCACCCUCCCUCUCGAUCUCUCCGUCGCCGCCUCUACCUCAGCCAGCCGAUUGUAGCCGCACCGCCACCGUCGCCGACCGAAUAGCACAGGCAGAAGGGACGAUUCGCACGGAGCGAAGAGCACAGGCCGAAGUAAGGAGACUUUACCAGGUGGAGUUUCAGUCAAUAAAAAGAGAGUUGAAAAAGGGCUUUCACAACUAAAGCUUAAAACAAUGGCCAUGAGUACUUAUCCCCAAAAAAAUCAGAGCUCUAUCUCGCUGUUCUCCUGACUCCGCUACUCUCUCCAUUUCGCUGUCAUCUCUUGGUUUUCCGAGGUACUCUUGCUCGUCUUUGGUGUGCGUGGCGUCGUCUCCGGUGGUGGCUGUUCUCUCUUCUUGUUAAAGGUUAAUAUUUUGAUUGGUCUUAAAGCAUUGGAUUGGUAGCUAAUUGCAAGAGUUCACCUUCGACAAGCCAUAUACUACUCAAGAAAUUAAUGAAGUUAGAGAAGAAUGGGCAAUGUUAUUUUUACAUUUGGUUAGAGCAAAAUGAAUGAUGUUAUAGCUAGCUAAUUACAAUACAUGUUUAGAAAUUUUAAAUUUAUUUCGUAAAUU
Molecule: long non-coding RNA, 770 nt
Organism: Humulus lupulus (European hop)
Lineage: Eukaryota; Viridiplantae; Streptophyta; Magnoliopsida; Rosales; Cannabaceae
Exons: 5
Source: RefSeq, a predicted model, not a curated record